Long non-coding RNA from Triticum urartu, 1811 nucleotides. RefSeq lists it as uncharacterized. Lineage: Eukaryota; Viridiplantae; Streptophyta; Magnoliopsida; Poales; Poaceae. The record is from RefSeq and is a predicted model, not a curated record.
CCCUAACCUCUGCCCACCCACCUACACAUUCAGCCACCCCCCGCUCCCACUUCUCCUGGCUCCCGGCGGCGCCACCCCGCCCCACCUCCUCCCCGGCUCCGGCGCCGCCCCGUCCCGCCCCACCUCCUCCCCGGCUCGUGGCGCCACCCCGCCCCACCCCAGCUCCUCUCCGGAUCCUAGGGCCGCGCCGCCCCCAACCUCCAACCUCCCGGAUCCUGGUGCCGCCCUGCCCCUACCUCCUCCCUGUAUCCCGGCGCCGCACGCCCCCAUCUCCCUGGAUCCCCGCGACGCCUAGUCCCCAACCUCUCCGGCUCCUGGCGCCGCCAACCGCCAUCGUCUGCCAGCUCCGGUAGCCGCGUCCACCUGUUUCCUCCUGCGUGUCGGACGGUGCGAAUCUGGCCGACGUGGCGGGGCUGUGAGACUCGCCGGGGUGGAGCUCCUCCGCCUGUACCUCGAUUCAUAGUUCAUUGUCAGUACAGGUUCUGAAAUUUCCUAGUACAUGUUGGGGGACAUUUCUGGAAUCACGUAUCCUUGCUAACUUGCAGUUGUAAUUUUGAUUGCAUAGCAGUACAAUUUAGUUAUCUCUGAAGUUUUGAUUCACAGCAGGACAAUUUAGUCCCAGCUGCCAUGAUUCUGCAAACCAUUGUGCUGCCAAAAGAUGGUGCUUUGUUGCAACAAGUUGUGGGGAAAAUGCAGUGAAAAAAUAAAAUGUGCUUCCACAAGUUCAUAUGAUAUAUUGUUGUUAAUUCAAUUUCUUUUAUAUACCUCUACACAUGUUUCUUGAAAUGCUGACAAGGAGCUAGACUUUUUUUGUUCAUAUUUCUUGUUUCUUAAAACAACUGAUGUACUACUAUCAAAAUGGAAGCCACAAUAAAUAUCUCAUCUCUAAAUUGAUGAUUCAACCAUGUUUUCUUGUGUCUAUUACUGAACUGACAAUGUUACUAAACUUGUGUUCUCGCUGAUUCUGAACUGUUGCUCGUAGCAUUUGUGAUGCUCGUCUGAUUUUGGUUGGAAGUUUAAUGAAUCCAUACAUAGUUGAACUUUUAGGAAGUUAAAAGUUCAACGAGUGUCUUAGAGAAAGCUUGGAAGUUUUGUCUAUAUAAAAAAGAUAACAAAAAUAUAUGUGUUCUGACCUAAGAUGUUCAGGAAAGAGUUCCAGAACAUCCCCGGUCGCCGCGUCCCCGGGAAGCCAUGCGACAGCCACGACCACUGCGAGCUGCUGGUGCAGCAUCCAACCUGCCCCCAUGCGCCUCCAUCCCUCAAUCUCCCAGAUGCGUCGUCGCGAACUCUUUAUUCCCCAUCGCUGCCUCCUCCAACUCCUUUCAUGGCUCUGGAAAAUCACUGAUCAGAAUAUUCAGAUCACAUUUUCAAUGCGUUGUUUGAAACGCUACAAUAUAGAUAUAUAGUCCCAGCGCACUGCCACUGGCGUUGACACCACAGGGUCCUGAGGCCUCGGCAUUCAUGCCAAGGUGGUCCAAUAGAGCCAACAGAUUAAUCUGGGAAGGCCAGCAGGACGGAGGGAAAGGUUGACAUCGUGGGCGUCGACAUUUGUGAGGUGACCAGCACGGAUGAGGAGAGCGCAAAAACUGCACCUCAUGACGGUACUCCGGAUCCUGGUGCUUCUCUCCCUCUGCUGCCUAUGUUCUCAAGAUACGAGAGAGUGGGAUAUUCGCAUGAUUGUGGCUGGUUGGAGUGUAUGGUCUUGUGGAGAUCAUGGAUGUUAUUUGCUGAUGACACGAUGUAUAUAUAUACUACUAGAAGUUCCAGUACCUAUAUUACUACAAUUCUCUAAUAAAAAAUGUAUCAGUUCA